AACUCAAAGGAAUUGCCGGGGGCCCGCACAAGCGGUGGAGUAUGUGGUUUAAUUCGAUGCAACGCGAAGAACCUUACCUAGGUUUGACAUCCGGAAGACCUUCCCGAAAAGGAAGGGUGCCCUUCGGGGAAUUCCGAGACAGGUGCUGCAUGGCUGUCGUCAGCUCGUGCCGUGAGGUGUUGGGUUAAGUCCCGCAACGAGCGCAACCCUAUUGCCAGUUGCUACCAGGUAAUGCUGGGCACUCUGGUGAGACUGCCCCGGUUAACGGGGAGGAAGGUGGGGACGACGUCAAGUCAUCAUGGCCCUUACGCCUAGGGCUACACACGUACUACAAUGGCGCAUACAAAGGGCAGCGAUACCGCGAGGUGGAGCCAAUCCCAAAAAGUGCGUCCCAGUCCGGAUUGCAGUCUGCAACUCGACUGCAUGAAGUUGGAAUCGCUAGUAAUUCGAGAUCAGCAUGCUCGGGUGAAUGCGUUCCCGGGCCUU
This 486-nucleotide ribosomal RNA is filed under the name uncultured Desulfovibrio sp. Its description in RNAcentral is "bacterial SSU rRNA". It matches the Rfam family "Bacterial small subunit ribosomal RNA", at positions 898 to 1382 of the family's 1533-position model. The record is from RNAcentral. Lineage: Bacteria; Pseudomonadati; Thermodesulfobacteriota; Desulfovibrionia; Desulfovibrionales; Desulfovibrionaceae.